Long non-coding RNA from Triticum dicoccoides, 413 nucleotides. RefSeq lists it as uncharacterized. The record is from RefSeq and is a predicted model, not a curated record. Lineage: Eukaryota; Viridiplantae; Streptophyta; Magnoliopsida; Poales; Poaceae. The transcript is spliced from 4 exons.
UGUUCCCGAGGCUGUUUGUGAUGUUUGUCGUGCUGAGGAAGGGGACGCCGCGUUCGCAAGGGAUUUGAUUGCUCGGCGAGAUCUUGCUGCAUUUCGACCGCGGGGAUGGGGAGGAUAAUGAAACAACUUCAUCUGAAGCUUUAUAUAACUCACCUAAGCUUCUACAUGGUGUGUUUGACCAGUUACUCGAUGAUCUGUUGUCCUCUUCACACAAAUAGUUCCUGGAGGUUAAUGAUCACGACAUUGGAAAUCCAGUGUCUGCUUCUACAUGUGCUACUUGUUCAAUGUCUAUAAGAAGAUGCUGCGAUCUGCACUUCUGUAAACAACACAACCUCUGGCCCUAUUAUUGAUAACAUAGGUAGGCUGGGGAUGAUACAUGCGGUUGCAUGUCAGAGUCAUGUUACGAAGUCCAG